Long non-coding RNA from Neofelis nebulosa (Clouded leopard), 1116 nucleotides. RefSeq lists it as uncharacterized. The record is from RefSeq and is a predicted model, not a curated record. The transcript has 2 exons. Lineage: Eukaryota; Metazoa; Chordata; Mammalia; Carnivora; Felidae.
ACUCAUCAGUGGGAAAGGAGGCUGACCUACAGGGUCAAGGGAUACAAGUCUGACUUCCUCUUGCUAAGGAGGGGGUGCCUUAAAAUCUCCAUGUACCUUUACAGAGAUAAGAGCCCCAUAUAGCAGCUGCAUGCAUUCUGUCCAGCUCUUACAGUUGCGUUCAGUAGCAGAGACAGAUGCUCACUCUAUCCGACCUGCAGCCAGGCCCAACGAUCGAUUUUCGCCAAAAUGCCAAGGCAAUCCCGUGAGGAAAGGAUAAUCUUCCAACAAACGAAGCUGUGACAAUUGGUAGCCGUAUGCAAGAAAAUCAACCCUGACGUUUCCCUCAAAGCACGUGCUAACACCAAGUUAAAACAGAUCAUAAACCUAAAUGUGCGAGCUCAAAGUGGAAGCCUUCAAGAAGAAAGUGUGGUAGAAAAUCAUGGCGACCGUGGAUUUGGUGAAGAUUCCUGAAAUAGGACACAGAAGCCACAAAAUAUAAAAGGAAAAGAUCAAGCUGUGUUUCAUCAAAUAAAAAAUUUUGCUUUUCAAAAGACAUUCACGCAAGUAAAAAGGCAAGCCACAAACUGGGUAAAAGCUUUUGUAAAUGUCUCUCCAAAAGGGACUCGUAUUACUUUUAAGUCUACAAUGUAAUGACUCAACCAUUCUGUACAUUUCCCGGUGCUCAUUGAGGUUAAGUGUACUUGUAUAAUCUUAUCUCCUCCACCCAUCCUCCCACCCAGCUCUCCACUGGCAUCCGUCAGUUUGUCCUCUGUAUUUAAGAGUCUGUUUUUUGGGACUGCCUCUUUUUUUGUUUGGUUGUUCAUUUGUUUCUUAAAUUCCCCAUUUGAGUGAAAUCGUACGGUAUGUCUCUUUCUUUGACCGAUUUAUUUCACUUAACAUAAUAAUCCUCUCUAGGUCAUUCGUGUUUUUGCAAAUGGCAAGAUCUCAUUCUUUUUUUAUGGCUGAACUACACACACACACACACACACACACACACGCAUAUAUAUAAUCUAUAUAAACAAAUUGUAUACAUACUACAUCAUCUUUAUCCAUUUAUCUACAGAUGGACACUUGGGCUGCUUCCAUAUCUGGGCUAUUGUAAAUAAUGUUGCAAUAAACAUGGGGGUGCAUAUA